GUAGCUAAGUUCGGAAUUGAUAAGCGCUGAAAGCAUCUAAGCGCGAAGCGAGCCCUGAGAUGAGUCUUCCCUGACAGUUUAACUGUUCUAAAGGGUUGUUCGAGACUAGAACGUUGAUAGGCAGGGUGUGUAAGCGUUGUGAGGCGUUGAGCUAACCUGUACUAAUUGCCCGUGAGGCUUAACCAUACAACACCCAAGGGGUUUUGUA
RNAcentral lists this ribosomal RNA (208 nucleotides) under Vibrio cholerae. RNAcentral describes it as "partial 23S ribosomal RNA". The stretch from base 1 to 186 matches the Rfam family "Bacterial large subunit ribosomal RNA", at positions 2745 to 2925 of the family's 2925-position model. Lineage: Bacteria; Pseudomonadati; Pseudomonadota; Gammaproteobacteria; Vibrionales; Vibrionaceae. The record is from RNAcentral.